CAGUAGCCGCGGUAAUACAGAGGGUGCGAGCGUUAAUCGGAUUUACUGGGCGUAAAGCGUGCGUAGGCGGCUUCUUAAGUCGGAUGUGAAAUCCCUGAGCUUAACUUAGGAAUUGCAUUCGAUACUGGGAAGCUAGAGUAUGGGAGGGGAUGAUAGAAUUCCAGGUGUAGCGGUGAAAUGCGUAGAGAUCUGGAGGAAUACCGAUGGCGAAGGCAGCCAUCUGGCCUAAUACUGACGCUGAGGUACGAAAGCAUGGGGAGCAAACGGGAUUAGAUACCCCAGUAGUCCCUGUCUCUUAUAA
RNAcentral lists this ribosomal RNA (301 nucleotides) under uncultured bacterium. RNAcentral describes it as "partial 16S ribosomal RNA". It matches the Rfam family "Bacterial small subunit ribosomal RNA", at positions 509 to 809 of the family's 1533-position model. The record is from RNAcentral.